RNAcentral lists this transfer RNA (73 nucleotides) under Vicugna pacos (alpaca). Its description in RNAcentral is "tRNA-Ala (AGC) (tRNA-Ala-AGC-630-1)". It matches the Rfam family "tRNA". From Rfam's summary of the family: Transfer RNA (tRNA) molecules are approximately 80 nucleotides in length. The record is from RNAcentral. Lineage: Eukaryota; Metazoa; Chordata; Mammalia; Artiodactyla; Camelidae.
GGAGGGUACAGCUCAGUGGUAGAGUACAUGCUUAGCAUGCAUGAGGUCCUGGGUUCAAUCCCCAGUACCUCCA